UAUGAUCCAGAGUACCACGGGACACGUGAAACCCUGUGGGAAGCAGGAGGGACCACCCUCCAAGGCUAAAUACUACCUAGUGACCGAGAGCGUAUAGUACCGUGAGGGAAAGGUGAAAAGAACCCCGGGAGGGGAGUGAAAUAGAACCUGAAACCCUGCACUUACAAGCUGUGGAAGCACAUUUCUUGUGUGACCGCGUACUUUUUGUAGAACGGGCCAACGAGUUACGUUAAGUAGCAAGGUUAAGCACUUAAGGUGCGGAGCCGUAGCGAAAGCGAGUUUUAACUGAGCGUUCAGUUACUUGACGUAGACCCGAAACCGGGCGACC
This 328-nucleotide ribosomal RNA is filed under the name Clostridioides difficile. Its description in RNAcentral is "bacterial LSU rRNA". It matches the Rfam family "Bacterial large subunit ribosomal RNA", at positions 401 to 730 of the family's 2925-position model. The record is from RNAcentral. Lineage: Bacteria; Bacillati; Bacillota; Clostridia; Peptostreptococcales; Peptostreptococcaceae.